Grus americana (Whooping crane) is the source of this 394-nucleotide long non-coding RNA. RefSeq lists it as uncharacterized. Lineage: Eukaryota; Metazoa; Chordata; Aves; Gruiformes; Gruidae. The record is from RefSeq and is a predicted model, not a curated record. The transcript is spliced from 4 exons.
CUGAGUAUCAGUUUCAGUUGUUACGUCCAUAGAGAUAUCUGUGCAAGCAGAGAGAUCAGGUGACUGACACAUAGACCUUUCUUCAGACAGCAGGGGAGAUGCAAGAAAAUUACUUAAGUGCAAGUGUGGUGAAGAGCAGAAGAAAAAGAUUUGCCCACCCACCUUCCACCUUGGGGGAAGGAAAAUGCUGUGUGCCUUAAAAUAUCUACUUGAGACUUGAACCUUGCACUUCCCAUCACUUCCUACUACCGCAUGAAGCGAAGGGUGCUUCCAUCGGGUCUGAAUAUGUGGGACUUCAAGUGCAUUGCAAAUGGACUGCACUGCACUGACCGAGGAGCUGUGGGAAGGUCCGAACAGAGCAGCUACACCAAGAGCAAGCUGGUCGCAUGCUGAG